GGUUCCGUGGUCUAGUUGGUUAUGACAUUUCGUUAACAGUUCAGUUAACACCACCGAAAAGGUCCCCGGUUCGAGCCCGGGCGGAAUCA
Molecule: transfer RNA, 89 nt
Filed under: Trichoderma longibrachiatum
Lineage: Eukaryota; Fungi; Ascomycota; Sordariomycetes; Hypocreales; Hypocreaceae
Also listed under: 1 other name
Description: tRNA-Val
Source: RNAcentral